This 557-nucleotide long non-coding RNA is filed under the name Homo sapiens (human). Its description in RNAcentral is "non-protein coding lnc-GNRH1-3:3". The record is from RNAcentral. Lineage: Eukaryota; Metazoa; Chordata; Mammalia; Primates; Hominidae.
GAGAUGGGUCAGGGAGACAGAAGUAAACUGCCCGUGGAUAAACAAAAUCUCCCAUCCGAGGUCGCAGACAGGAUUUUUAAAAUGGGGGCAUUUUCUUGUUGAUUUUUGCCCUCCUCUCUGAGAUGCCUCAAGCCCCCACGCCCCGCCGCCGCCAAACUUCUCUGUACUCUUUUUAUUAUUUUGCCUUAUUUUGAUUCCCUAGAGGACGGGUACAGCAGACCCAAAAGGGAUCGAUUUGACAGUCGCCUUUGCUGUGUUAGGCCUUUGCGGAGAGUGUGGUGCUCAGUGUUCUUCCAGCGCUGGAGCAAGCCAAAACGAAUUCUCUUCCUUCCCAGCCUUUUGCCCCACCCAUGAAAGUUGUUCUGCUCCUUUGGGAAAUUUUCACUGUUCGAGGCAGACAUUUAUUGCGUUGCUAAAUGAUACCUAGAAGUAACUCAGCCUUUACGAGUCUAAGUGUAAGAGACUUAAAUGAAUAUGACUGUCACACAAAAAAGGUGUGUCCUACUUCAACACUCAACAUUCAAGAAAUAUUUGUCAAAGACCUGCUGUAAGCCAGG